RNAcentral lists this long non-coding RNA (471 nucleotides) under Lathyrus oleraceus (garden pea). RNAcentral's name for it is "Pisum sativum (pea) long non-coding RNA (PSAT_LNC008517)". Lineage: Eukaryota; Viridiplantae; Streptophyta; Magnoliopsida; Fabales; Fabaceae. The record is from RNAcentral.
CCCAAUUCACUCUAGAUUUCUCCCUCCAAAAAGCUUCUUUAAGACUCAAAAAAAAGGGACAUAUUUUGUGUGCAAUUUUCCCAUGGGCCUAAAGAACUUCAUUAUGACCAAUGCUAGCAAACCUGAUCUGAAUUUUGUUUAGGUUUUCUACAGCAUUUCUAACUCUUUCUUGAAUGUUACCAAAAGAGGACUAGUUCCACUCCUUUAGGUUAUUUUUAAAAGCUUGACUUUUCAAUCUAGAAUUAACAUGGUGCAGCCAACGAGUAUGGUCCCCCAAGUCUUAGAAACAAUGUCUUUAUAAUCCUUUUACUCGACAAAAAUGUCUAACCUCCUUAUAAUCAAAACUGAGUAUAAUGGGAGUAAUGGUCAGAACAAUUCUUGAUGAUAGCGGUUCAAGACAAGGACGAGCAAAGAACAAUUCUUGAUGUACAAGACAAGGACGAGCAAAAGUCAAUCCAAGUUUGAUUCCCA